This 277-nucleotide ribosomal RNA is filed under the name uncultured bacterium. Its description in RNAcentral is "partial 16S ribosomal RNA". It matches the Rfam family "Bacterial small subunit ribosomal RNA", at positions 511 to 788 of the family's 1533-position model. The record is from RNAcentral.
GCAGCCGCGGUAAUACGGAAGGUCCAGGCGUUAUCCGGAUUUAUUGGGUUUAAAGGGAGCGCAGGCGGACUUUUAAGUCAGCUGUUAAAUUCGGUGGCUCAACCAUCGCAUGCAGUUGAAACUGGAGGUCUUGAGUGUACACAGGGAUGCUGGAAUUCAUGGUGUAGCGGUGAAAUGCUCAGAUAUCAUGAAGAACUCCAAUCGCGAAGGCAGGCAUCCGGGGUACAACUGACGCUGAGGCUCGAAAGUGCGGGUAUCAAACAGGAUUAGAUACCCC